RNAcentral lists this ribosomal RNA (253 nucleotides) under uncultured bacterium. RNAcentral's name for it is "partial 16S ribosomal RNA". It matches the Rfam family "Bacterial small subunit ribosomal RNA", at positions 524 to 776 of the family's 1533-position model. The record is from RNAcentral.
UACGUAGGGGGCUAGCGUUGUCCGGAAUCAUUGGGCGUAAAGCGCGUGUAGGCGGUCCGGUAAGUCCGCUGUGAAAGUCGGGGGCUCAACCCUCGGAUGCCGGUGGAUACUGUCGGGCUUGAGUACGGAAGAGGCGAGUGGAAUUCCUGGUGUAGCGGUGAAAUGCGCAGAUAUCAGGAGGAACACCAAUUGCGAAGGCAGCUCGCUGGGACGUUACUGACGCUAAGACGCGAAAGCGUGGGGAGCAAACAGG